This 5572-nucleotide long non-coding RNA is filed under the name Sus scrofa (pig). Its description in RNAcentral is "lncRNA (ENSSSCG00055010247.1)". Lineage: Eukaryota; Metazoa; Chordata; Mammalia; Artiodactyla; Suidae. The record is from RNAcentral.
UUUAAAUUAUUUUCACUCUUCUCUUUAUUGCCACCUCCUCCUCCUGGAGAUCACAGCUAAUGUCACCUUUACCAUCUCCUCCACUGGGUAGAGCCUGGACAUCUGGCACCUGGGCACUGGUCCUGCCUGGGCACUGCCACUUCCAUUCUCAUGACAGGAGCAAAGUGCCUGCCCUGUGGAGUGCCUUGACACUUUACCCCAAUAGCACGCUUAACACAAAGGAUCUCAGAGUGUCUUGGGGAAGAUGUGAUCUGUGCCAAGCUCAGUCCUUUUCCUGGACCCUCUGCAGAGAAGCCAGGGCAUUCUCCAGCCUGUGCUAGAAAUGCGACAAGCUCAGGAAUUAAGGUGCAGGAGUUCCCGCCAUGGCUCAGUGGUUAACAAACUCAAUUAGUAUCCAUGAGGACAUGGGUUCAAUCCCUGGCCUUGCUCAGCGGGUUGGGGAUCGGGCACUGCUGUGAACUGUGCUGUAGGUUGCAGGUGCGGCUUGGAUCCAGCAUUGAAAUGACUGUGGUGUAGGCCGGCAGCUACAGGUCCGAUUAGACCCCUAGCCUGGGAGCCCUCCAUACGCUCUAGGUGUGGCCCUAAAAAGACAAAAAGACAAAAAAAUAAAAGAAAUUAAGGUGCACAUUUCAUAGGCAGGCACUUCAUCAAGCACGGUCCUGUUCCCUUUGCUAAUCGUUUCAUGCCUGUGCUUCCUGCCUUCCCAGCCAUCCUGAGACCAUCUUGAGGGUAUGGACUGCAGCUUCUAGUUCUCUGUUAAGCCCAGGGUUCUGAGCAUCACAGUGAGGGCUGGAUUCAUAUCAGCUGGUUGUCUCAGCAUCAUCUCCACCAACCUGAGGCACAGGUGCUUCUCCAGGGCAUUUUCCAAGGGGGAAAGUCCAGGAUAAAGUCCCUGACCCCAAGUCUUUAUCUUACACCUGAAAAUACCCUUUCCCCCAACAAGGACACACUCACAGGCCUCCAGCAUUAGGGCCUGACAUCUUUGGGGGAUGCUUCGCCUACUGCACCACCGCCCACCACCUCUUCUGACCUCGAACGAGUGUCCAAGGGUCCCAGAUCAGCCUCUCUGAGUCGUGCUUAUCCCUCUGAGGUACAGGAAUGACUUUUAUGGAUCCGUUGGCUUCUUCACAGAGUGGUGGUGAGGACUGAGAGGUAAUAUAUAUAUUGAAAGCAUUUUCUAAGCUGUAAAGCCCCACACAAAUGCAAGACAACAUUAUUGCACUGGGAGCGUGGCAAGUUCAACACUUGAGAAAACUAUCAGAUUUUAAAACAUGUGAGGGAAUAGGAAACCAAUGUUAUUCCAAAACCUCAUUUACACCCCACACCAAAGCCUCCCACUCUCCCUGCCUCCGCUCUCCCCUGUGGCUAUAGGGGUGUGACAGAGGCCUGUCUUGGGGGUGGCUUUGUGGCCUGAAAACAAAUCAUUCUUCACAGCUGGCUCCCCGAGUCCAAUAAGCCAGAAGGAAUUGGUAGAGAGAUUUAACGAUAUGUAUUUCAAGAAAAAGAUGAAAAUGUGUCUACUUUUAGGAGAUGCAGUAAAAAUGCAUCAGCCCCACAAUAAACUUGGCAGUGAAGAUGCAUAGAAGGCACACAUAUAAUGCAGUCAGGGCAGUAAUGUCUCAUUUCUAGGGAAAUCCUCUAAGAGAUCAAUUAGAAUUUGCCCCCGCCCAUGCCCUAUACACAGCCUCUGAACACGGUCCCACCCCUCCAGCUACCUCCAGCCUCUGCAGGGGGCCUGUUGGCUCAAAGCAGCUUGUUCCCCAGUCUCCCUUGGAAGUCUCUAGAAGAGAUGUGGGCUGAAACGGUUUGCAAACCAAUUACAUGAGAAGUGGGAAACUGUGGCCCCCCGAUCAAACCUGGCUCAUAAAUUACAGCUUUAUUGGAUCACAGACAUGCUGAUUCCUUCUAUGAUGGCUUUGUUGCUCUAAUAGAAGAGUUUAAUAAUUCUGAUUGAAAUCACAUGGCCUGAAAGUCUAAUAUAUAUAUUAUUGGGCCUUUACAGAAAAAGUUUGUUGACAUCUGAAUAACGCCAUUACGUGAUAGGCUGUCUUUAGGCAAAACUGCCUGUAAAACCAAGAACAGGAUGACAGCUAAUUUUUUUGAGCCCUGUUCUGUGCCACGCAUGGCAUUGUGCCCAUAGGAACAGAAUGUCCCCUUAUUUAUUCUCGCAAGCAGUCCCAUGAGGUAGUAAUGCUAGCAGUAUGGCUAGAGGAGAAAACAGGCUCAGGGAAGCUAAGCAACUUUCUCAAGGUCUCAACCUGGAAAACCGGUAGAACUGGCGUUCACACUCAUGUGCGGCUGAUUCCACCACCCUUGCUCUGGCCGCCACUCUCAAGCAUCUGGUUUCCAGAUGGGCAAUUCAGAGACCCUCUUCCAGUCUCCAGCACCUUGCACUUGUUGAGGAUCUGAUUUUCUGUAUCUAAUGUACCUGCAUCGAAUCUCCCAUCAUUCACCUGCCUGCCGUGGCCGCUCUGCUAAGGAGUGGAGAAAGGGAGCCUUCCAAGCCGUCUUCCUCCCCCUUUCCCACCCUGUGCUCCCCAUCCCUGUGCUCAGUGGAUUUUGUCCCACAUUUCUGCAGGACCCGUGUUGCCGCAGUCUCCCCCGACUGUCCCACUCCUGGGCGAGAUUCUGACUGUUCUGGAGCCUCCAGUCUGCACAGAGGGGGGCGCCAACAGAGCCCUGGGAACAGAGGCAUUUGCAUUCCACUUCCCGGGGCUGUUCUGAUCUUACCUGCAAUUCUUCUGACAAAUUCUUAUCAGCGAUGCCCAUGGCGAAGUCUGUGGUGACUUUGUUCAUUCUUAUUAGCUCUGCAGAUUAGCUCUUCACAGCGCUUGGCUGGUUCAUACCGAUUCCUGAUAAAUGUUUUGACUGAUUUUCCUGACUUGGGAGCAGUUGGGGACUGGGGCUGGGGUGGAGGCAGAAGACCGUGAGGAGAGGGGUGCUGGCGAGGGGAAGGAGAGAAAAUUGUGGCCAGGAUUACAUCUGGGCUAUAAAAUAUUCAUCACAUGCCUGCAAGAGCAGGGUCAGCACCACUUCCCCAAGAACUGCUCCCUCCACCAGGCAGCACUUUGAAAUGCACCAGCCUGGGCAGGCUGGGAGCAGCCGGGAGAGGCUUCUGAGAGAAGGGGCCAGUGGAAGUUAAAAGGAAGGAAGAACAAACCAGCUCACUUGGGCUUUCCUGUCCUUCUCGGUCCCUCCCUUCUCACCUGCUCUUCAAGAACAGCUUUUGAUGGCAGAAUACUGAUGUUCCGGGUGGGCUUAGCUGCUCCUGUGCUGGGUUCCUCUUCUCCCUUUUGCUGCCCAAGAAACCUUCCUGAGAAUUUCAGCCCACCCUUCCUCUCCUUUCCAAGAGGUCCUCCAGCUUCCCUCUUUGAGGACUUCAGACAGUGCUAAUAACAGCGUUCCUCACCGUCUCCUGUAUUUCCCCACCUAGACUGGACUUAGAGUCAUGCCCCUCCCAAGACUAGACACGAGGUACCCAUUUGUAACGUCAUGGCUGAAUUAAAAGAGCUCCUUCCCUUUGGCAGAGUUGGCCAGCAGGUACCACCACACCACCAGUGCUGAAGCAAGGCAGGCAUUGCCGAACGACUUCCACACGCUUUCUUCUCAAACCAAGAUGAAGUUUUCCCCUUGUUCUUAACAAGAGUUUCCAAGCAGCCACUCCUAAUCCAAUGGAAUCAAGAAGGAAAUAAAAACCUCUUUGCUAUCCUGGUUCUUUGGUAUCCCCUGUAACUUCCUUGCAAUCAGGCACUACCUUUAGAGUCUAGGAACCUGGUACUGUGGCCCCAUAUAAAAUAGGAGUUCCCGUCGUGGUGCAGUGGUUCACGAAUCUGACUAGGAGCCAUGAGGUUGAGGGUUCGACCCCUGGCCUUGCUCAGUGGGUUAACGAUCCGGCGUUGCCGUGAGCUGUGUUGUAGGCCGCAGACGCGGCUCGGAUCCCGCGUUGCUGUGGCUCUGGCGUAGGCCAGUGGCUACAGCUCCGAUUCGACCCCUAGCCUGGGAACCUCCGUAUGCCCAGGGAAGCGGCCCAAAGAAAUAGCAAAAAGACAAAAUAAAUAAAUAAAAAUAAAUAAAUAAAUAAAUAAAUAAACCCUGCACCCACAAAAGAAAGCUAUCCAUCACUUUCCGCAGGUAUCCGGUCAAGGCUUACCCUCUAAAAAAUUCUUUCAUGUGUCUAACCCAAGACCCUGCUGCAGUAGAAUUAUAUUCCUGGGCUUUUCUCCCAUGGGAGAAAAAAGUCAGAUGCUUUGAGAAGUGAUGUUCUCACUCACUGCUCUUUCCCACUGCCCGGAAGUUUAAACUCUGGUGCCCAAGCACCUCACUCUGGAAAAACUCGACUCAUGCCAGCCCCAUGCCUGCUCGUGCCAGCUCCCUGGAAAAUGACCCACACCCCCGAAACUAGAAAGAGGCCUGGAGACUCUUGAAGGUCCUCUCUUGCCGCAGCCAAGUUUACUCAUUAGCCUUUCACCAGAUUUAUCUUCUCCCUGGUAGCCUGCAGCGCUUUGAUUUGUCCUGCUGUCACCAGGACUAAUGUUGAUGGCGGCACCCCCCCGGGGGCGUCAGGCUCUCCAGCCUCCUGCCAGAGCCCUCGAGGAAAAUGGAUGAGCAACUGACCCGCAAAAUAAAUACCAGACUUCCAGGUUCUGAUAAAGAUUAAAUAUUGGAGGAGUCAUUUCAAAUGAAUAUAUAAAAGCACAUGGAAGAAGCCUUUUAGACUCCGGCAGAGUGACAUACAGGCAAACAAAGAGAGAUGUCUUUGGGGAAGUUCAGUGGCAGGGAAGUUGGAGGCUCCGAAUGCAAUCUGCCCACAAAUACCCCAGCUGCAGGAAAGAUUCCAAAACAGUCAUCCCUCCCUUUCCCUCCACCCUCCCCACCCAGAUCGUGAAGAAGAGAAAGUGCUAAGCUCCAAAAGCCGCGUGCCAGCAUGAUGCUGAAGUCAGCUCUGGCCCAUCCAACCAAGGGAGAAGCCCCAUUACUCAACACCAUCUGCCUUGGGCGUGGAGCAGCCAAGAGCUAGGAUUACGGGCGGGGAUGGGGCUCUGAGGCCCCAAAGGAGAGAGUUACUGGGGAAGAGCAAGGUCAGGCAUCUCUGAGACAGAACAGGGAGGCGGGAGAGAAGCCAGAUGUCAGCAGAUGGAGCCAGUGUUCCUUGAGCCUGGGGCAGAAUGUGGUAUCUGGUCCGAAACAUGUGCAGAUUGAUUGCACAUCCAGAAACGCCCAAUAACCAGAAUCCCAGGAUCCUGUCUCUAGAAUCAAAUGUUGGAGUUCUCUGGAUCAAAGUUCAAGUGCAGUUAGCAUGGAGAUGGAAGAGGAGAGAGGCAGCCUUGAUUUACCUGGUGCCUGCAGUGCUGGGCCACUUACUCCUCCUGACCGUCCUGGGAGAUGGGCACUGGCAUCCAUUCCUUACAGAAAGGAGGCUGAGGCUGCGGCGAACGGAUGGCCACGAGGCUGGCGUUCGUCCCGCUGCCACAUGCUCAGUUCUCCAUCUCAGUCUGGAAGGCAGAGUCUUGGUGGUGGUCCAGGGACAGCUGUCCAAAUUCCUGAGAACCGGGCUCAGUAUCCAGGUCCCUCC